Molecule: non-coding RNA, 46 nt
Organism: Schistosoma mansoni
Lineage: Eukaryota; Metazoa; Platyhelminthes; Trematoda; Strigeidida; Schistosomatidae
Source: Rfam
UCAUUGUUGAGGAGUCCCACAAUAGGACGAAACGGCCGUCCAGUGC